AGAGUUUGAUCAUGGCUCAGGAUUAACGCUGGCGGCGUGCCUGACACAUGCAAGUCGAACGAGCGAAGCCCUUCGGGGCCGAGCGAGUGGCGGACGGGUGAGUAACACGUGAGGAACCUACCUUCAAGUGGGGAAUAACUCGCAGAAAUGCGAGCUAAUACCGCAUGUGGUUGCGGAGUGGCAUCACUCUGCACCUAAAGAUUUAUCGCUUGGAGACGGCCUCGCGGCCUAUUAGCUAGUUGGUGGGGUAAUGGCCUACCAAGGCGAUGAUGGGUAGCUGGUCUGAGAGGACGAUCAGCCACACUGGGACUGAGACACGGCCCAGACUCCUACGGGAGGCAGCAGCGAGGAAUUUUCCGCAAUGGGCGAAAGCCUGACGGAGCAACGCCGCGUGUGUGAUGAAGUCCCUCGGGAUGUAAAGCACUGUCGGAGGGGAUGAAUAAAUGACAGUACCCUCCAAGAAAGCCCCGGCUAACUACGUGCCAGCAGCCGCGGUAAUACGUAGGGGGCGAGCGUUAUCCGGAUUUACUGGGCGUAAAGCGCGUGUAGGUUGUUGCGUAAGUUAGUUGUGAAAUCCCUCGGCUUAACCGAGGAACUGCAGCUAAUACUGCGUGGCUGGAGUGGCAGAGAGGAAAGUGGAAUUCCCGGUGUAGUAGUGAAAUGCGUAGAUAUCGGGAGGAACACCAGUGGCGAAGGCGACUUUCUGGCUGCUAACUGACACUGAGACGCGAAAGCUAGGGGAGCGAACGGGAUUAGAUACCCUAGUAGUCC
Molecule: ribosomal RNA, 771 nt
Filed under: uncultured bacterium
Lineage: Bacteria
Description: bacterial SSU rRNA
Rfam family: Bacterial small subunit ribosomal RNA
Source: RNAcentral